This 69-nucleotide transfer RNA is filed under the name Loxodonta africana (African savanna elephant). It matches the Rfam family "tRNA". Rfam says of the family: Transfer RNA (tRNA) molecules are approximately 80 nucleotides in length. The record is from Rfam by way of RNAcentral. Lineage: Eukaryota; Metazoa; Chordata; Mammalia; Proboscidea; Elephantidae.
GUUGGUAGUAUAGUGAUAGAAUUCUUGCCUUAAAUGUAGGAGGCCUGGGUUCGAUUCCCAGCCAAAGCA